RNAcentral lists this ribosomal RNA (432 nucleotides) under uncultured bacterium. Its description in RNAcentral is "partial 16S ribosomal RNA". It matches the Rfam family "Bacterial small subunit ribosomal RNA", at positions 338 to 795 of the family's 1533-position model. The record is from RNAcentral.
CCUCCGGGAGGCAGCAGUGGGGAAUAUUGCACAAUGGGCGCAAGCCUGAUGCAGCGACGCCGCGUGAGGGAUGAAGGCCUUCGGGUUGUAAACCUCUUUCAGCAGGGAAGCGGUACCUGCAGAAGAAGCGCCGGCUAACUACGUGCCAGCAGCCGCGGUAAUACGUAGGGCGCAAGCGUUGUCCGGAAUUAUUGGGCGUAAAGAGCUCGUAGGCGGUUUGUCGCGUCUGCUGUGAAAACUCGAGGCUCAACCUCGGGCUUGCAGUGGGUACGGGCAGACUAGAGUGCGGUAGGGGAGACUGGAAUUCCUGGUGUAGCGGUGGAAUGCGCAGAUAUCAGGAGGAACACCGAUGGCGAAGGCAGGUCUCUGGGCCGCACUGACGCUGAGGAGCGAAAGCAUGGGGAGCGAACAGGAUUAGAUACCCUUGUAGUC